Non-coding RNA from Schizosaccharomyces pombe (fission yeast), 609 nucleotides. The record is from the annotation of a GenBank genome assembly. Lineage: Eukaryota; Fungi; Ascomycota; Schizosaccharomycetes; Schizosaccharomycetales; Schizosaccharomycetaceae.
AAAAUGUAACGUGGCUUCUCCAGGCGUACAAUCACAUUACCCCAAGUUUCGUUAAUUAAACUGUGACUUUCUGCAUCGAAUAUUCUAGCCAUAUUCAAGCAACAAAAGCUCCCAUCUUCUCCGCUUUAUUAUAAGCUAUGAUUACCGGAUUUCGUAAAAAAGCGCAUACCCAACAGUUCUCAACUUAGGUUGGUGCUCUAUUGGUUCUUCUCAGUGGGGUACGGUUCGUUUAAAUGAUAUUAAACUGCAUGCUAUUACAUGGUUGAAACGUUAACUUACCCAUCUUUUGCGGAUUGAGAAUUUGAUGUGGGGGCACAGAAGAAUAAAGACACAGAUGUUCCAUUAAAAGUAUGAGAAUUAUUGUCAUUCUUUUGGUGUAUUUUGUAGUCGCAAGGUCUUUUAUAAAAAAUUACCAAGUAUUUCGCAGAGAAUUGUCCGGAGGUUGAAAUAAGAAAUUAAGAAACUUAAUACAAACGGAAUUCCAAAAAUAUUUUUGCAAAGCCUUUAUUUAUAUUAAACAACUGAUAUUUUUUAAUCAAUGUCACAAAGUUAUUUUUUAUGAAUACCGUUUUCCGAACCCUCCAUGCAACACUUUUAACUUCACCGUAU